UAUUUUCUUUUUUGAUGUAAGCUCUCCUGGACAAUUGUUGUAUAUACGCCUUAUGUAUGUGACUUUUUUGUAUUUUUAUUUGCCUUCUAUUUUUCAUGUAAGAUCUUUUGGCCGAUUCUUAUGUAUACUCUCUUAUGCGUGAGAUCUACAUAUAGUAUUUUUAUUUGUGUUUUAUUUUUCAUUUUAGUUGUCUUGGCCAAUUUCUGAUUGUGAUGUGUUUGUGUGACUAUAACACACUUAGCAAUAUUUUUUAUUUGCUGAUCACACUUGCAAUAUUGCACAUUUCUAUGCUUUAAUAUAAUUAUGUGAUAUGAUUGUUUUUUAUUCAAAUUAUGGAAAGUGGUUUGGAAUGCUACAACAUCACCUUGGUCAAUGUCUCAUACAUGUUCUUAUGUAACAAUGCAUGCGCUCUUGACUAUGAUUUAAGUAUAUAAUGUUCCACAUGUCCCCUUUUUAAUUCCGUAGCGUAGCACGGGCAUCUUACUAGUUUAACUAAAAGCGCAAUUUUACCUAUCUGUGUACAAUAAGACCUUCCUACUGUUAUCGUUGACAUGUUUGCAGAAAUUACUUGACAAAAUUGCGAUCAUAUAUGCGAGUAUUCAUUUUUGAAGCAGGGCUCAUCUGCUCUUGGUGAACAUUACAAAAAAUACUAGAAAAAAUCAAAAAAUACCACUCCCUCCUAUCCAAAAUAAGUGUCGCGGUUUUGAACUAAAAUAAGUUAGUUCAAAACUGUGACACUUAUUUUAGAUCGGAGGUAGUAGAAUAUUCAUUUCUUAACCCGGCCUCAUCUACUUUUGAACCUAGCAAGCUGCAACCUUUAGAUCAUUUCGUGUUUAUGUACCAGGAUUUUACCUAGACAUCGUUCCUAACAAUAUUUAUGCACUUCGUUUUAGCGAAGUAAGGUUGAUCACUGCACUCGGCAUGCAGAUCUCUGAACAUCAACAGGUUCACCGGACAGUCGUCUAACCCCGACGCACCACCAUAUGCUACCAAAAGGAACUGUUCUGGGCUGCCAUCCGCGUGCCUCUCGAGCCAGCUUCUAAGCCCAAGCUGCGUGUGUGAUGUGUCGUACAAGGGCAUAUUGUCCUUCAUAGCACCAUCAUUUUCUGACCUCAGCAAUGAGUCGUACUAUCUUCUACUCGAAAACGAUAUGAAGACCAAGCUCUUGUCAUUCAAGGCCCCGGUCGACUCAAUUUCUCUUCAUAACCCAUUCUUUGAUGCGACCAACUACUUGCGGAUGAGCUUGGAGGUGUUCCCCAAUGGUAAGAUUCAGUUUGGGGAGUAGGAUAUUUCUAACAUCGGGUUCCUUCUGAGCAGUCAAACAUAUAAGCCACCCCAUGUUUUCGAUCCAUACUAUUUCAAUGCCCAAAGCUAUCCUUUUGCAAGGGGUAAGAUCGUUGAUGGAAAAGUUGUACUACAUUGUCAACUAUUUGUCAUUUCACCUUUGGUAAAAUCAGGAUCUUUUUAAGGUUCUUCAUAUCGAUUAUUGGUUGACAUUAUGAGUCUGUAGCAUAUGCUCCCUCCGUUCCUAAAUAUUUGUCUUUCUAGAGGUUUCAACAAGUGACUACAUAUGAAGCAAAAUGAGUGAAUCUACACUCUAAAAUAUGUCUAUAUACAUCCAUAUGUGGUAGUCCAUUUGGAAUCUCUAAAAAGACAAAUAUUUAAGAACAGAGGGAGUAAUAUGCAUCUUGUUUGUUCAUGAGCUUUAAAAGAAAUGCUUACUUAGAUCUUCCAAGGCCUCUAUUUCAAAUGAUUUAGUAGCAUUACGAUAGCUACUAUAAUAUUUGUUGGUGGAAAAUAAAUAGUCCUAUCCCGAAGCCCACCUAGCCCUACAUGGCUAGUCAACAUCUGUCCAAUCGAUUUAACAAGAUCCAAGAUGGUCAAACGAAAGUCCAAAUUUGUCAAUAAGGCUCAAGCUAGUCAACGGAAGUCCAAGCAAAUUGCCACGAUCAACAAGUCAAAAGAGAAGGCAGAACAAAUGGACAAAGUCAACAAUGACGGCAGAACACAAAGAAGGAUGUUCUUCUCCUGCUUUUCUAGAGUUGGGCUCCUUUGCUCUUUGUCUUCUUUUUUUACUUUGUCUUUUCAUUUCCUAACCUCAUUGACAUGUUGACCAUGACAUUGUGCUUGGACUUCCGGUUGAUUACCUUUGGACUUGUUGACUAGUUUGGACUUUUGGUUGAUUGUUUUUGGUCUUGUUGAGUAUCUUGGCUUUCACUAGGUGUCCACGAAGGACAAGGAACCCUAAGGAUGCGUUUGGUUGCCCGCACCGAUUUUGGCGUCUUUGCAUACACUUCUUAGAUGGGUCUGGCUGAUGAAAAACAACCUAUAAACCACCAAGUGCACAUUGUUUGGUUGCUCGCAUAUAGGCUAGCUGCAUGAGGGAACUAAUUUUGACCCGCUGCUUGGUUGGCCGCAUAGAAUUAGGUGCACAUAGGACACGUUGUUUGAUUGCAACCUGCAUUAGGUGCUAUCACCACUUCUCACUAGUGGUGAUCUUACCACACACGAUUAACAGUUCCACUCCUAGCUACGAAACAAAUUACGGUUCCUCAUAGCUACUAUCAAAUGGCAGUACGCAUUAUUAAGAUGGCAGUACGCAUUAUUAAGAGCCAAAUGGCUGAAUGGGGAAAGUUCAUCAUCCCUCCUUUUCCUCUUCAUCUUACCUCUUUUGUUGCUGGUGUUGUUCCUCUUCGUCUUCCUCUUCUGCUGCUGCUGCUCUUGCUCUUCUUCUUCUUCAGAUCCUUGUCUGGCCUCUGUUAUCCCACAUUGCCUGUGUCUACUCCAGCCUUUUGUUCUUCCAGGCUUCGUUGUCAAAUGCCUCAACACCAUGGCCACCGAGGUCAAGAUCGUCAGGCAUCACCUCUUCCUCCUCAGGCACCAGUUCGUCAAUGCCCCAUUGCAGGAUCCAGUUAUGCAGAAUGCAACAUGCAAGAACAAGUUUAACCUGGGUAGGGUAAGGGUGGAAUGGCCCAGGAUCUUGAACAUGUUCUUGAGAGCUCCAAAUGCCCUCUCAACCAUUACUCGAAGGCUGGAGUGUCUGAGAUUGAACAGCUCUUGUGGAGUCCUAGGGUAGUUCGUACCAAAGAACUCGUUCAGAUGGUACCUGGUAUUCCUGAAGGGUGGAAGAACACCUGGCCGACAUGCAUAGCCAGCAUCUCCUAGGUAGAACUUUCCAUCGGAGAUGUUGAUGCCAUUAGGACGACUGAUGUUGUCACUCAGUAUGUUAGCAUCAUGUGUUGACCCUUCCCAGCUAGCCAGCACAUAGGUGGACUUCAUAUCGAAGUCAACAACAGCAAGCACAUUCUGCCUUAUGUAGUGCUCCCCCCCUAAAUGCAGCAGCUUGUGACCUCAGCACUCUGGCAGUAACAUGAGUACCACCUAUUGCCCCAAUGCAAUCCUGAAAUGGCAAUACAAGAUUGUGUUAGUGCUCACAUUGAACUAUCCAAGCAUAUCAAGCAAUGAACUACAUACUGCAGUGCUCACCUUGAAGUAUGAAUACCAUCUUGGGCUUGUGUGAAUCUUGGUAGGAGUCCGCCCAGUUGGUGACUUGAUCAUCUCUCCUCUGAGCUCCCCAACAACAUACAACACUUGCUUGAAGUACCUUGAGAUGGUCUCCAUUGACUUCCUGAACGUGUUGUGGGUAACCCUGAACCUCUGGUUAUGGCCAACAAUAUGAAGGAACAUGGCGACUUGCUCUUCCACACUGGUGUGGAUGCUAUCUUCUAGCAGCCUCCUGGUCCUGAAGGUCUGAACAAGUCUGGCAAAUGGUGAUAUUUUCAUUCUAAGCAUCCAUAGAGCCUCUGUAUCGUUGCAGUUGUAUAUGUAGUUUAGAUUGGCGAUCCUCUCCUGCUCCUGCAUAAGCAUUGAAGCAUAUCUGAUGACAGGUCUCUCGGCACGACGAACAACUCUCUUGUGCAUGAACAUGACCCAUGCCUGAAUCAUAGCUAUCAGUGCUCCUGCUUGAAAUACCAACCACAUCUGUGCGUCCAUAACCUAGUCCACAUCGAGGGUGCGUUGAGCAAUGGGAAAAUCGAUCCUACACCUUGUCUAACGGCCUAACAACACACAUAACUUAGGGGACGGGCGAUGUUGCUUACCGGCAUCAGAGACGAGGACGACGAAGGGGGAUCACGGCUGAGUGAAGGACGAUUCGGCAGUUUCUGACUCGCUAGGAAUUGCCGAUUCGACAGUUUAUGACGAGCCAGGCUGAGGGCUGCUUUAAGCUUCGUGCGGAUGCGAGCCAGCCCACUAUGUGCGCAACCAAAUGCACAUUUCGUGGCCCAACUGGGCCUGGUUGCGAUUUCGUGGGCAACCAAACGUGCCCUAAGGUAUGAUUAUUUGUUUCUCCCUACACAACUUCUUCUCCUACAUUUGUUCUCAUGACAGCCUCUCUCUUCCACCGGAGCCUCAACCCUCCAUCCAUUGUUGUUCCAGGUCCUUUUCUUCUCCCUUUUGCGGUGGUUGUCGCCAUGACGUUCAACCCUUACACACAUCCUUUGAUUUCCUCUCCCCCUCUAUCCCUCUUCGUCUUUCUCAAUUGCCCUUCUGUUUCUUCUCGUCCGUGUCGUGUCUAAGUCAUUGUCAGGCGAAUGAUCGCGUCGAAGAUUUCUAUUUUUUUUUCAACUAAGCUUGAACCAGGGGGGCUUCUAAGCCUGCACGUGCUUUGUUUGCAUUUGUAGCACUGAUAGCAAAUCGGCAUGGCCAAUCGAGGGCGUUGAUGCGCCAUCCAACGGCUCACGCAUCGUGCGGCACAAGAAAAAAGAGGCGUCACUUGCCGAAGCUACCCGCUUCAGUCCCGAGCUCUCGGACCCAGAUGGCAUCCGCCUCGCCGGAACCCGCAGCGACCGAGACCGGCGACUCCGUCAAAAUCCGCCGCCUAGAGAUCGCCGACCGCGAGAGGGGCUUCCUACCCCUCCUCUCCCAGCUCUCCUCCUGCCCGGACCUCACCGAGUCCGAGUUCGCCGCGUGCUUCGCCAACCUCGCGGCCCUCGGCGACGACCACGUCAUCCUCGUGGCCGAGGACCCCGCCGCGGCUCCGGAGCGGCGGAUCCUCUCCACGGGGUGCCUCUUCGUGGAGCGCAAGUUCCUCCGCGGCGGCGGCAAGGUGGGGCACGUGGAGGACGUGGUGGUCGACGCCGCCGCGCGCGGCCGGGGGCUCGGGCUCCGCGUCGUGCGCCGCCUCGUGGAGACGGCGAAGGACGCCGGCUGCUACAAGGUCAUCCUGGACUGCACCCCGGAGCUGCGCGCCUACUACGCCAAAUGCGGCUUCGUGGAGAAGGGGGUUCAGAUGGCCGUGUACUUCUGAAUUCUGAUCCAUCCAUGGGGUAAUGCGCAACAGAGACUGCAUUUCUUUGUCCCGUCGCAUCUAUCCCUUUGUCUGUGGCAAUCUGUUAUCAUAUCAUUAUUCUGAACUUGUCUGUGUUAGUGACUGAGAAUGCUAUUUAUGGAAUCCCAACUUUAUCAUGUGGCUGUAUGGCUUUGGCCUGUUUCUGCUGCGUUCAUAAAAGAAAAUUCCGUGCUAUAUUGUCUUGGUUAAAUAACAGCGAUAAUUCUGUCGCUACUAUAAUGUUCCAAAUAUAGGCCAGUUAAUCGCCAUCUCGGUCAGUUAAUUGCUACUCAGGUGGGUCACCGAAUAGCCGAUAGUAACUGAUUUAUCAGCCGAUUAACUGCUGAUUCGCCUAUUUAUCCCUACUCAGCACCUGAAGGUACCAGUUACCGAUAUCCUGAACAUUGCCUACUAGUGUAAAUCUUGAAAGUUACUACUAGUUCUUUCGGUCAGUAAAGCUGUCGGGCUAAGCUUUGCCAACCAUAGACAAGUGAACCGGGGAUUUUCUGUUAGAGCUGAAUGAAGUUCUAUGCAUAGUACUGUAGAUUGUAAACCAUAACACCAUCAUAGUACCUGGUAGGAGCUGCUAUAGUGAAUCAAAUCUUUCUAGGCAUUUACCAAAUGAGCUAGCAUAGACACAUAAUCAUGCCUAUUCAAUCAAAUUCUCUGUCAUAAAGGUAAUCAUGUCUAACAGUGUACUGUUAUUGUUGCUGAAAGAACUUUUGGUACCGAGGCUCUUGACUCUUGAGGUUUCACUUUUAGAGAUUAGCCAACUGAUGCCCCGUGUAAAUAUUCAACAUGCAUCACCCUAUGGUUUGAGACAUUUUGUGGAGUGCAUGCUAUUAUGGUUCUACGCAGCUGGGUGACACUGCUAGGGUCCUGGAGACGGUAUCAAGAUAGCCUGUGCAUUUGCAGGAACAUGAUAAGUACUCCCUCCAUUCCAAAAUAUAGUGCGCCUGCACUUUCCGAGGUCCAACUUUGACCAUAAAUUUAACCAACGAGACCGACUGCGGCGGGAGAAAAAAUUAUAUAGUUGAAAACUUCUUUUGAAUACGAAUUCACUGGUAUAACUUUUGCUCCGUCGCAGUCGGUCUCGUUGGUUAAAUUUAUGGUCAAACUUGAAGCACGGGAAUAGAGGAAGCACUAUAUUUUGGAACGGAGGGAGUAGCAAUUACUGGUGGAUGAUGACUUGUCAGAUACUUAUGGGUUUGGUUUCUGGAAUGCUUAUUGGCUUAUAUUUUCACUUCCAUUUUCUGCUGGUGAUAUGUGACUGAGCGAGUACUAUCCUCCGCUCGGAACCCAACCACAGUUUGAAUUUGCUAAAUUGGUACCCAAGACAUUACAACUUACAAGCCAGUUCAACACCUUCAGCAUUCGGCACUUCUAAAAGGUUAUUGGAAACCAAUUUGUUAAUCAUUACAUGAAGAGUUAUUGGAAACUAAUUUCUAUCGUGGGCAUUUGCUAAUCUCUUUUCCCAUUAUAGGUUGUGUGGAAAUAUAAAUCUUGCAAUAUAACCUUCUAGUUUGCUUUACACCAACUUCCUUGGUCAUGAUAAAAAUAAUUAUGUUGUUUCAAUUGUUAUUUGGUUUCCAAGUCAACUCAAUUUGGAGUUAACAGGGUCAAUGUAGCGGUCACAUCAGAUACGAUUGUUCCACCUUCUAGUUUUGUUGAAUAAGGAUCUGCAACAUUUGCUUCCAUAUUGUCAUCCAGUACUCUAUUUUUGAAAAUCCUGCUCUGUAUAAAAAAAAUAAUGUUAGUUUUGUUUGUACUUGAUCAUUUGGUGUUUGAUUACAUGUGCUGAAAUACUUUUGAGAUCUUAUACGUAACUUCAUCUUCUUGUCACAGGUAAUUCAUGGCUAAUAGUCGAUCCAUCAAAGUUGAUCUAUGUCCUUGGGAGCCCUUCUGAAGAAAUUAGUACUGUCAUGGGGGCAGCUCUUAACCUGGCUGAUUUUCCAGUACCACAAUGGACCAUUGAGAAGCUUCCUUGAAGCUAAAUUCUUUUCCAGAAAAUACAAACUUCUAUCACGGGCUGGUACUGCUGAGCUCUCAUUCCCCUCCAUUCGAACUGGAUGUUAUACCAUGCACGUUAGAUGCUCUACCAAACAGUGGCUUCAGAAUAACAUGUCGGCUAGUUUACCGAGGUCAAUAUGAUUACCACUCUUUGUAGACUCAUUUGCUUACAACAGUGUAACUCGAUGAUAGUGUGAAGCCACAAAGGGUCUCUUUGUGGGAUUUAUUAAUCAUUAGGCAUAUUAUAAUCUGCCACACGGGAAUUCUCAAGAUCAUCUAGGAAGGAUUCUAGCCAGACCAUGGUUCUACCAUGAAGCCUCCCAAAGGAAGCUAGAAGCUCAUCCAAAGGAGUGUAUCUUGUCUUCUGUUGGGGUGUUAAAAGACAGCGUACUUUGCUGGCUGUUCGAUUCCCUUUGUUUCAGUUCCUGGAUUGUCAAAGAAGACAUGGGUUUUGGCUGUUUUAGUUUAUUUUUGCAUGAUGUUUGUAGUCAUAACCUCAGACAUAUGACCCCAAUUGUACCAUGGCUCUCUACAUAUGAUCCAUCCACAUUGGGCUUGAUGCAUCCCCUCAAUUGCUGGACAUUGAACAUUGUUGACAUGGGAAGUUGGGGGUAAAGCUUUUUUGCUUCAACUGUUGCGCCCCAGGGGGUUGUAAGCUCCUGACGGAGAAGAUCUAAAGAAAACGAGACAAUGAACAAGAUGUGAUGGCGGAACCAGGGAUCCCACAACUAUUCCAAACACAAACUUCCUGCAUGAUCGAGUCUCAAACCUACACGAUGUUUACCAGGCGCAUAUAACUCAUUGCCAGGAGUCUCAAACCUAUAAAGUUCCUAGCAAGGAGUUCACCAGCCUCGAAGGUAAUAUCAUCACAAGGAAUGACGAACGACCAGAGUCAAACAACAAGUCAAAACUUCAAGCACUUGAACAAAAUAUCCAACGUCUCAAAUCUUCUAUCAAGAAGUCAUGGAACAUCAUGAACAGUAGAUAACAAUAAGCUAAAGCAAGACUUCCCAAUAUGCUCUCAGCAGAUAUGUAUUAAGUUCUAACUGAUCGAUACGACAGACAGGGGGUUUAGUCCUCAUCCUCCACAACCUUGGUACCCAAACCUUUAAGACCUUCCUGGGGAACUUCAGCAACUGUGACCAGAGAGUACAGCUCCUCCUUAGCGUCCUCCUCGUCAUUCCUCUUGCGGGCAAUCCUGACACGGACUCUCCUCGGGACACUCCUGAUGCCACUGCUCCAGAUGUGCUUGUUGAGCUUCACGUCAAUGCGGACAUCGUUGGUUCCCAUGGCCUUCUGUGCAAACUUCCUGAUCUCCUUGAUGGCAUUUGGUGCCUUCUUCUUGAAGGUGCUGUUCAAUAGAAUGAAGCUACCAUUAGUGAUUGAUAUAAAUAGAGGAUUUUGUAACCAGAAAGAAAGCAUGAGAAAGAUAGAUGAAACAUUACGACAUAAGCAACAUAGAAAUGUAAUAUAUAAAACACAAAACAAAACAAAGCAAGUGGAGAAAAUAUAUUUCAUCUCAAUGUAGUGCCCAAAUGGAACACAUGACAGCAUAUGAAGGCAGCAAGUGUAACGAUGAGUAGCAUCUAUGUACCGGUCAUGUAACUGUAUCAACCACAAGAUUUAAAGACAGAUACCUGACUAUGACCGGGCAUAAUGGACAAUCUAUAAGAUCAAAUGACAACCUAGUUUCAAUGUAGAGCCCAUAUGUAACACAUGGCAGCAUAUGAAGGCAGCAAGUGCAACGAUGAGCAACAUCUGUGUACCGGGCAUGUAACUGUAUCAACCACUAAAUUUAUAGACGGAUACCUGACUAUGACCGGGCAUAAUAGACAAGAAAGAUCAAAUGAUAAAAUCUAGUUUUAGUGUAGAGCCCAAACGGAACACGUGGUAGCAUUUGAUGGCAACACAUGUAACGAUGAGCAGCAUCUAUUUACCGGUCAUGUAACUGUAUCAACCACAAUUUUAAGACAGAUACCUGACUAUGAGCAGACAUAAUGGGCAGAUUAUAUGAUCAAAUAGAUAAUAAUGUUUAGUUUUAAUGUGGCGCCCAAAUGGAACACGUGAAAGCAUAUGGAGGCAACACAUGUAACGAUGAGCAACAUCUAUUUACCGGGCAUGUAACUGUAUCAACCACAAUUUUAAGACAGAUACCUGACUAUGACCGGGCAUAAUGAGCAAAUUAUAUGAUCAAAUAGAUAAUAAUGUUUAGUUAUAAUGUAGCGCCCAAAUGGAACACGUGAAAGCAUAUGGAGGCAACACAUGUAACGAUGAGCAACAUCAAUGUACCGGACAAGUAACUGUAUCAACCACAAUUUCAAGACAGAUACCUGACUAUGUCCGGGCACAACUGAUCAAUAAACUUACUAGAUUAACAAACAAACAAAUAGAAAGCAGAAUAUACAGCCCAAAUGGAACACAUAGUAGCACCAAGAGAAGCCAUACGUGUAACGAUGAGCGGAGUUAAUCUCUCGGGCAUGUAACUGUGCGAAACCACAUGAUUUAGAAGGCAGACACCUGACUAUACCCGAUUAAUAACACCUAAUAGAAUGGCACAGAUCGAAGAUCCACGUGAAAAUAAUGUGGGGUCAGAUACAAGAGCAGAAUCCAAGAGAUCGGGAUACCGCUCGGUCAUGCGAUCCCUAGUAUCAUCUAGCUGGAAGGAUUUCGAUCCAUACAGGUGUGACAGCCAUUCACGAGCCCACAUAGUGCUCGCAGGCAGCAACCUUUCACACCAGCAUCUCCACCAGGAGGGCCCGUAAGCGCCAUGGCGACACCCCGUGAAGCCCGGAGGCGGAAUCUGACUAGCGGAUCUACCGGGAGCGCGGAGCUCGGGAAUGGAGGGGGCGGGUGAGGAGGGAGUAUACCAUCCAUGGAGGCGCUUGUGGAGGUUGACGGUGUACUCGCGUGUCACCACCUCGUCCUUGCGCGGGCCGGGGGCGCGCUUCUUCUCCGACAUCUCCGACGGCCUCCUUUCGCCCUGCUCCUCUCUUGGCUUCGGUGGAGGCUGCGGCGAGAGGAGAUAAACCCUAGUGGGGAACGGCAGGUCGCAAGGGGUCGCGGCUUUAUAGCGGGGGAAAUUAGGGCUUGCUGGCUGACUGGGCCUCUCCGGGAUGUUUCGUGACGGCCCGUUUCAGUAGGCCCUUCGUCCAUCUGUUAUGUUUUUUUCUUUCUUUUUGUCAGUGAAUCUGUUAUGAAAUUUUAGUGUGUUUGGUUUUGGGCCCAAGCGAAUUCCACCAAAAACUUUGUUGCCGGUAGUUUGAUUAAUGUUUCUCUCCACAUAAUUUGGCGAAUUCUGGCUGGAAAAAUGGAAUAACGUUGACCAACGAGCAUAGUCAAAUCGGGAAAAAAAUCUAAGCAAAAGCCAAGAUUUAGGCCAUGGCCCAAAAUUGGUACGGCUGAAUUGUUAAUUAUUUCGACACACUAGGUAAACUUUUUUUUGGAGGAUAGGAUUGGAAAUUGAGAGGAAGCAAAUCGUCCAAUUUGCUAUUAUUCCUCUUGAACUAUUUUUUUUAUGGAGCGAACAGUCUAACUUGCUUCAUUCAAUUAGUCAACUGGUCAAUAUGCCCAUUGAUGCUUUAGAAUUUUGAUAUUAGCAUGGCAUUCAACAAGGCUUAACAGAAAAUAUAUGUAACAAAAUGCACACGGUGAGUGACUCUUGUACCGCUGCAAUCAAAUUGAAGUUAAGAGUCAAAUAUGUAGAGGUAAGAUUUACUUUUUAAAUAUAUUUUUGAAACGCGGUUCCUUACAGCCCGAUUCAUUAAAAAGGGUUGAAGAGAAUUGCCCGGUUAAUGAAUGGAAACCCGGGCUAAAACCAUUACAACAUGCCCACAAGAAAGGGCACCCGCCGACUUGACUGCCCACAGGACCCACACACACUGCCGAGAAGAGGACACCGUCGAGGUUCCCUACAAUGUCAUCGUCAUCACUUCUCCUCGAGCAAGCGACUUCGACUUCUUCGCGGACGACUCAUCGAGACGACUCCGAACGAACGACACAUGAGAACAAAGUCGGCCUAUGCCAAACAGUCGGCCAAACGCGUCGAGGACUAGCCAACUCCGACUUCGGCCACAGACUCGUAAAAGAAAGAAACACGCCUUGCUCCAACAUAGCUAGAACUGCACAUCAACCUCCAUCGUUGUCGCUGCAUUGCCCCGCAACGCUACAGCUCUGACUUCUCACUGAAUUACACGUCGAACGGUCGAUGACGAAGGACUAGCAUCGACUCUGCUCCUCAAGCCACCAUUAUCGUUGCCACAUGAGUCGCAAUCCCACCGGGGCAAGACAGCUGCCCCGCCACCUGCACUCGCAUCACCCAUCGGGCACUGAUGACCCACAAGUAUAGGGGAUCUAUCGUAGUCCUUUCGAUAAGUAAGAGUAUCGAACUCAGUGAGGAGAAGAAAGAAAUGACAAGCAGUUUUCAGUAAAGUAUUCUCUGCAAGCACUGAAAUUAUCGGUAACAGAUAGUUUUGUGAUAAGGUAAUUCGUAACGGGUAACAAAUAACAAAAGUAAACAAGAUGCAGCAAGGUGGCCCAAUCCUUUUUUAGCAAAGGACAAGCCUGGACAAACUCUUAUAUAAAGGAAAGCGCUCCCGAGGACACAUGGGAAUUAUCGUCAAGCUAGUUUUCAUCAUGCUCAUAUGAUUCACGUUCGUUACUUUGAUAAUUUGAUAUGUGGGUGGACCGGUGCUUGGGUACUGCCCUUCCUUGGACAAGCAUCCCACUUAUGAUUAACCCCCCUCGCAAGCAUCCGCAAGUACGAAAGAAGAAUUAAGGUAAACCUAACCAUAGCAUGAAACAUAUGGAUCCAAAUCAGCCCCUUACGAAGCAACGCAUAAACUAGGGUUUAAGCUUCUGUCACUCUAGCAACCAUCAUCUACUUAUUACUUCCCAAUGCCUUCCCCUAGGCCCAAACAAUGGUGAAAUGUCAUGUAGUCGACGUUCACAUAACACCACUAGAGGAAAGACAACAUACAUCUCAUCAAAAUAUCGAAUGAAUACCAAAUUCACAUGACUACUUAUAAGAAGACUUCUCCCAUAUCCUCAGGAACAAACAUAACUACUCACAAAUCAUAUUCAUGUUCAUAAUCAGAGAGGUAUUAAUAUUCAUAAAGGAUUUGAACAUAUAAUCUUCCACCGAAUAAAUCAACUAGCAUCAACUACAAGGAAUAAUCAACACUACUAGCAACCCACAGGUACCAAUCUGAGGUUUUGGGACAAAGAUCGGAUACAAGAGAUGAACUAGGGUUUGAGAGAAGAUGGUGCUGAUGAAGAUGUUGAUGGAGAUUGACCCCCUCCUGAUGAGAGGAUCGAUGGUGAUGACGAUGGUGACGAUUUCCCCCUCCCGGAGGGAUGUUUCCCUGGCAGAACAGCUCCCCCGGAGCCCUAGAUUGGUUCCGCCAAGGUUCCGCCUCGAGACGGCGAUGCUUCGUCCUGAAAUCUUUCUUCUGAUUUUUUUCCAGGGUGAAAGACACCUUAUACCAGAAGAUGGGCAUCGGGGGCCUACUAGGUGGCCCACGAGGCAGGGGCGCGCCCUCCACCCUCGUGGCCGGUGGGUGGCCUCCCUCUGGUGCUUUCUUCGCCCAAUAUUUUUAAUAUAUUUCAAAACUGACUUUCGUGGAGUUUCAGGGCUUCUGGAGUUGUGCAGAAUAGGUCUCUAAUAUUUGCUCCUUUUCCAGCCCAGAAUUCCAGCUGCCGGCAUUCUCCCUCUUCAUGUAAACCUUGUACAAUAAGAGAGAAAAGGCCUAAGUAUUGUGACAUAAUGUGUAAUAACAACCCAUAAUGCAAUAAAUAUCGAUAUAAAAACAUGAUGCAAAAUGGACGUAUCAACUCCCCCAAGCUUAGACCUCGCUUGUCCUCAAGCAGAAGCCGAUAUCAAAAAAUAUGCCCACAUCUUUAGAGAUAGAGGUGUCGAUAAAAUAAAAUACGGACAUGAGGGCAUCAUGAUCAUUCUUAGAAUAGCAACAUAUAUAUAUUGUCAUAUGAUUUCUUAUGCUAAAGUAACAAUCUAUUCACAAUGUAAAGUAUGAAUCAGAAACUUCAUUGAAAAACUAGCAAACUAUAACAACAUCGGAAAGAGUCAAUAUAAGAGCUUUUCAGCAAGUCCACAUACUCAACUAUCAUUUAGUCUUUCACAAUUGCUAACACUCACGCAAUACUUAUGGGUAUGAAGUUUUAAUCGGAUACAGAGAAAGUUAGGGGCUUAUAAUUUUGCCUCCCAACCUCUUACCUCAAGGGUAAUGUCAACAAUAAUGCUUUAUGAAAACCCACAUCCAAUUGGAUAUAUAUAUCGGGAUCUUUCCAACACAUAGUGCUUGCCAAAGGAUAAAGUGUAAAAAGGAAAGGUGAAGAUCACCAUGAAUCUUGUAUAAGGUAUAAGACAAAAAUAAAAGAUAGGCCAUUCGCAGAGGGAAGCAGAGGUUGUCAUGUGCUUUUAUGGUUGGAUGCACAAAAUCUUAAUGCAAAAGAACGUCACUUUAUAUUGCCACUUGUGAUAGGGACCUUUAUUAUGCAGUCCGUCGCUUUUAUUUAUUCCAUAUCACAAUCUCGUAUAAAGCUUAUUUUCUCCACACUAAUAGAUCAUACAUAUUUAGAGAGCAAUUUUUAUUGCUUGCAACAAUGACAACUUACUUGAAGGAUAUUCAAUCCAUAGGUAGAUAUGGUGGACUCUCAUGGCAAAACUGGGUUUAAGGAUUUUUGGAAGCACAAGUAGUAUCUCUACUUGGUGCAAAGAAUUUGGCUAGUAUGAGGGGAAAAGGUAAGCUCAACAUGUUGGAUGAUCCAUGACAAUAUAAUUUAUUUUGGAUAUAAGAAAACAUAACCCAUUACGUUGUCUUCCUUGUCCAACAUCAACUUUUUAGCAUGUCAUAUUUUAAUGAGUGCUCACAAUCAUAAAAGAUGUCCAAGAUAGUAUAUUUAUAUGUGAAAACCUCACUUUCUUUAUUACUUCCUAUUAAUUGCAACGAUGACCAAAACUAUGUUUAUCAGCUCUCAACAACUUUUAUUCAUCAUACUCUUUAUAUGUGAAGUCAUUACUCUCCAUAAGAUCAAUAUGAUCUCUUUAUUUCUUUUUAUUCUUUCUCUUUUUCCUUUUAUUCCCUCAAGAUCAUAGCAAGAUAACCAAGCCCUCGACUCAAGACUAAUAUUUAUUAUAUAUAGCUCACGGGCUCGAUUACAUAGGUAAGGAUCAACACAAAAACUCAAAGCUAGAUCAUACUAAACUUUAUUCUACUAGAUCAAGAUAUAACCAAAAGGAUCGAACUAAAAAACGGUAAAGAUAGAAGUGUGAUGGUGAUACGAUACCGGGGCACCUCCCCCAAGCUUGGCAGUUGCCAAGGGGAGUGCCCAUACCCAUGUAUUUAUGUCCCUUUCUUCGGAGUUGGUGAUGAUGGAGUUGUUGAUGAGAAGUUGUGUCACACAUCGAGCGUAGGAGAUUCUCCAAUUUGCGAAUAAUGCCCUUGAGUGCGGUGAUGUAUUCUUGCAACAAAAUAUUUCCAACCUCGUGAACUUCAAAGGUUGCUUAAGCAAUCAUCAAAACCACUUCAAAGAGUGCCCCGAAAUUUCUACCGGGGAGUCAAGACGAAAACGUGUCCAACCCCUAUGCAUAAGUUCACGAGGUCACGGAACUCGCAAGUUGAUCACCAAAACAUACAUCAAGUGGAUCACGUGAUAUCCCAUUGUCACCACAGGUAAGCACAUGCAAGACAUACAUCAAGUGUUCUCAAAUCCUUAAAGAUUCAAUCCGAUAAGAUAACUUCAAAGGGAAAACUCAAUUCAUCACAAGGAGAUAGAGGGGAGAAACAUCAUAAGAUCCAACUAUAAUAGCAAAGCUCGCGAUACAUCAAGAUCGUGCCAAAUCAAGAACACGAGAGAGAGAGAGAGAGAGAGAGAGAGAUCAAACACAUAGCUACUGGUACAUACCCUCAGCCCCGAGGGUGAACUACUCCCUCCUCGUCAUGGAGAGCGCCGGGAUGAUGAAGAUGGCCACCGGAGAGGGAAUCCCCCCUCCGGCAGGGUGCCGGAAUGGGUCUAGAUUGGUUUUCGGUGGCCAUAGAGGCUUGCGGCGGCGGAACUCCCGAUCUAGGUUUCUUUCUGGAAGUUUGGGGUUAUAUAAGAGGUGUUGGAGUCGGGAACAAGUCAGGGGGGUCCCUAAUACAUCCAUUUUGCAUCAUGCUUUUAUAUCGAUAUUUAUUGCAUUAUGGGCUGUUAUUACACAUUAUGUCACAAUACUUAUGCCUAUUCUCUCUUAUUUUACAAGGUUUACAUAAAGAGGGAGAAUGCCGGCAACUGGAAUUCUGGGAUGGAAAAUGAGCAAAUAUUAUAGACCUUCUGCACAGCUCCAAAAGUCCUGAAACUUCACGGAAAUCAUCUUCAGAAUAUAUAAAAAAUAAUGAGCGCAAGAAGUUCCAGAGGGGGGCCACACCCUGCCCACGAGGGUGGGGGCGCGCCCUACCCCCUGCCUCAUGGGUCCCCUGGUGGCCCUCCGAUGCCCAUCUUCUGCUAUAUGGAGUCUUUCGAUGAGGAAAAAAAAUCAUAAUCCAUCCUUCCGGACGAGACUCCACCGCCACGAGGCGGAACCUUGGCGGAACCAAUCUAGGGCUCCGGCAGAGCUGUUUUGCCGGGGACACUUCCCUCCGGGAGGGGGAAUUCAUCGCCAUCGUCACCACCAACGCUCCUCUCAUCGGGAGAGGGCGAUCUCCAUCAACAUCUUCACCAGCACCAUCUCAUCUCAAACCUAGUUCAUUUCUUGUAUCCAAUUCUUGUCUCUAAGUCCAGGAUUGGUACCUGUGUGUUGCUAGUAGUGUUAAUUACUCCUUGUAGUUGAUGCUAGUUGGUUUAUUUGGUGGAAGAUCAUAUGUUCAGAUCCUAUAUGCAUAUUAAUACCCCUCUGAUUAUGAACAUGAAUAUGAUUUGUGAGUAGUUACGUUUGUUCCUGAGGACAUGGGAGAAGUCUUGCU
Molecule: long non-coding RNA, 16296 nt
Filed under: Triticum aestivum (bread wheat)
Lineage: Eukaryota; Viridiplantae; Streptophyta; Magnoliopsida; Poales; Poaceae
Description: long non-coding RNA (TAES_LNC010624)
Source: RNAcentral